RNAcentral lists this ribosomal RNA (199 nucleotides) under Escherichia coli. RNAcentral's name for it is "partial 16S ribosomal RNA". It matches the Rfam family "Bacterial small subunit ribosomal RNA", at positions 1 to 207 of the family's 1533-position model. Lineage: Bacteria; Pseudomonadati; Pseudomonadota; Gammaproteobacteria; Enterobacterales; Enterobacteriaceae. The record is from RNAcentral.
AAAUUGAAGAGUUUGAUCAUGGCUCAGAUUGAACGCUGGCGGCAGGCCUAACACAUGCAAGUCGAACGGUAACAGGAAGCAGCUUGCUGCUUCGCUGAUGAGUGGCGGACGGGUGAGUAAUGUCUGGGAAACUGCCUGAUGGAGGGGGAUAACUACUGGAAACGGUAGCUAAUACCGCAUAACGUCGCAAGACCAAAGA